This 497-nucleotide ribosomal RNA is filed under the name uncultured bacterium. RNAcentral's name for it is "partial 16S ribosomal RNA". It matches the Rfam family "Bacterial small subunit ribosomal RNA", at positions 28 to 507 of the family's 1533-position model. The record is from RNAcentral.
GAUGAACGCUGGCGGCGUGCCUAAUACAUGCAAGUCGAGCGAACGGACGAGAAGCUUGCUUCUCUGAUGUUAGCGGCGGACGGGUGAGUAACACGUGGAUAACCUACCUAUAAGACUGGGAUAACUUCGGGAAACCGGAGCUAAUACCGGAUAAUAUUUUGAACCGCAUGGUUCAAUAGUGAAAGACGGUCUUGCUGUCACUUAUAGAUGGAUCCGCGCUGCAUUAGCUAGUUGGUAAGGUAACGGCUUACCAAGGCAACGAUGCAUAGCCGACCUGAGAGGGUGAUCGGCAACACUGGAACUGAGACACGGUCCAGACUCCUACGGGAGGCAGCAGUAGGGAAUCUUCCGCAAUGGGCGAAAGCCUGACGGAGCAACGCCGCGUGAGUGAUGAAGGUCUUCGGAUCGUAAAACUCUGUUAUUAGGGAAGAACAUAUGUGUAAGUAACUGUGCACAUCUUGACGGUACCUAAUCAGAAAGCCACGGCUAACUACGUG